UAAUACGAAGGGGGCUAGCGUUGUUCGGAAUUACUGGGCGUAAAGCGCGCGCAGGCGGUUCUCCAAGUCAGUGGUGAAAGCCCGGAGCUCAACUCCGGAAUUGCCAUUGAAACUGCAGAACUUGAGGACGAGAGAGGUGAGUGGAAUUCCCAGUGUAGAGGUGAAAUUCGUAGAUAUUGGGAAGAACACCGGUGGCGAAGGCGGCUCACUGGCUCGUUUCUGACGCUCAGGCGCGACAGCGUGGGGAUCAAACAGG
Molecule: ribosomal RNA, 256 nt
Filed under: uncultured bacterium
Lineage: Bacteria
Description: partial 16S ribosomal RNA
Rfam family: Bacterial small subunit ribosomal RNA
Source: RNAcentral